AGCGUACACGGUGGAUGCCCUGGCAGUCAGAGGCGAUGAAGGACGUGCUAAUCUGCGAUAAGCGUCGGUGAGGUGAUAUGAACCGUUAUAACCGGCGAUUUCCGAAUGGGGAAACCCAGUGUGUUUCGACACACUAUCAUUAACUGAAUCCAUAGGUUAAUGAGGCGAACCGGGGGAACUGAAACAUCUAAGUACCCCGAGGAAAAGAAAUCAACCGAGAUUCCCCCAGUAGCGGCGAGCGAACGGGGAGGAGCCCAGAGCCUGAAUCAGUGUGUGUGUUAGUGGAAGCGUCUGGAAAGGCGUGCGAUACAGGGUGACAGCCCCGUACACAAAAAUGCACAUAUUGUGAGCUCGAUGAGUAGGGCGGGACACGUGGUAUCCUGUCUGAAUAUGGGGGGACCAUCCUCCAAGGCUAAAUACUCCUGACUGACCGAUAGUGAACCAGUACCGUGAGGGAAAGGCGAAAAGAACCCCGGCGAGGGGAGUGAAAAAGAACCUGAAACCGUGUACGUACAAGCAGUGGGAGCCUCUUAAUGGGGUGACUGCGUACCUUUUGUAUAAUGGGUCAGCGACUUAUAUUCUGUAGCAAGGUUAACCGAAUAGGGGAGCCGAAGGGAAACCGAGUCUUAACUGGGCGUUAAGUUGCAGGGUAUAGACCCGAAACCCGGUGAUCUAGCCAUGGGCAGGUUGAAGGUUGGGUAACACUAACUGGAGGACCGAACCGACUAAUGUUGAAAAAUUAGCGGAUGACUUGUGGCUGGGGGUGAAAGGCCAAUCAAACCGGGAGAUAGCUGGUUCUCCCCGAAAGCUAUUUAGGUAGCGCCUCGUGAAUUCAUCUCCGGGGGUAGAGCACUGUUUCGGCAAGGGGGUCAUCCCGACUUACCAACCCGAUGCAAACUGCGAAUACCGGAGAAUGUUAUCACGGGAGACACACGGCGGGUGCUAACGUCCGUCGUGAAGAGGGAAACAACCCAGACCGCCAGCUAAGGUCCCAAAGUCAUGGUUAAGUGGGAAACGAUGUGGGAAGGCCCAGACAGCCAGGAUGUUGGCUUAGAAGCAGCCAUCAUUUAAAGAAAGCGUAAUAGCUCACUGGUCGAGUCGGCCUGCGCGGAAGAUGUAACGGGGCUAAACCAUGCACCGAAGCUGCGGCAGCGACACUAUGUGUUGUUGGGUAGGGGAGCGUUCUGUAAGCCUGUGAAGGUGUGCUGUGAGGCAUGCUGGAGGUAUCAGAAGUGCGAAUGCUGACAUAAGUAACGAUAAAGCGGGUGAAAAGCCCGCUCGCCGGAAGACCAAGGGUUCCUGUCCAACGUUAAUCGGGGCAGGGUGAGUCGACCCCUAAGGCGAGGCCGAAAGGCGUAGUCGAUGGGAAACAGGUUAAUAUUCCUGUACUUGGUGUUACUGCGAAGGGGGGACGGAGAAGGCUAUGUUGGCCGGGCGACGGUUGUCCCGGUUUAAGCGUGUAGGCUGGUUUUCCAGGCAAAUCCGGAAAACCAAGGCUGAGGCGUGAUGACGAGGCACUACGGUGCUGAAGCGACAAAUGCCCUGCUUCCAGGAAAAGCCUCUAAGCAUCAGGUAACAUCAAAUCGUACCCCAAACCGACACAGGUGGUCAGGUAGAGAAUACCAAGGCGCUUGAGAGAACUCGGGUGAAGGAACUAGGCAAAAUGGUGCCGUAACUUCGGGAGAAGGCACGCUGAUAUGUAGGUGAAGCGACUUGCUCGUGGAGCUGAAAUCAGUCGAAGAUACCAGCUGGCUGCAACUGUUUAUUAAAAACACAGCACUGUGCAAACACGAAAGUGGACGUAUACGGUGUGACGCCUGCCCGGUGCCGGAAGGUUAAUUGAUGGGGUUAGCGGUAACGCGAAGCUCUUGAUCGAAGCCCCGGUAAACGGCGGCCGUAACUAUAACGGUCCUAAGGUAGCGAAAUUCCUUGUCGGGUAAGUUCCGACCUGCACGAAUGGCGUAAUGAUGGCCAGGCUGUCUCCACCCGAGACUCAGUGAAAUUGAACUCGCUGUGAAGAUGCAGUGUACCCGCGGCAAGACGGAAAGACCCCGUGAACCUUUACUAUAGCUUGACACUGAACAUUGAGCCUUGAUGUGUAGGAUAGGUGGGAGGCUUUGAAGUGUGGACGCCAGUCUGCAUGGAGCCGACCUUGAAAUACCACCCUUUAAUGUUUGAUGUUCUAACGUUGGCCCGUAAUCCGGGUUGCGGACAGUGUCUGGUGGGUAGUUUGACUGGGGCGGUCUCCUCCUAAAGAGUAACGGAGGAGCACGAAGGUUGGCUAAUCCUGGUCGGACAUCAGGAGGUUAGUGCAAUGGCAUAAGCCAGCUUGACUGCGAGCGUGACGGCGCGAGCAGGUGCGAAAGCAGGUCAUAGUGAUCCGGUGGUUCUGAAUGGAAGGGCCAUCGCUCAACGGAUAAAAGGUACUCCGGGGAUAACAGGCUGAUACCGCCCAAGAGUUCAUAUCGACGGCGGUGUUUGGCACCUCGAUGUCGGCUCAUCACAUCCUGGGGCUGAAGUAGGUCCCAAGGGUAUGGCUGUUCGCCAUUUAAAGUGGUACGCGAGCUGGGUUUAGAACGUCGUGAGACAGUUCGGUCCCUAUCUGCCGUGGGCGCUGGAGAACUGAGGGGGGCUGCUCCUAGUACGAGAGGACCGGAGUGGACGCAUCACUGGUGUUCGGGUUGUCAUGCCAAUGGCACUGCCCGGUAGCUAAAUGCGGAAGAGAUAAGUGCUGAAAGCAUCUAAGCACGAAACUUGCCCCGAGAUGAGUUCU
This 2773-nucleotide ribosomal RNA is filed under the name Escherichia coli. Its description in RNAcentral is "bacterial LSU rRNA". It matches the Rfam family "Bacterial large subunit ribosomal RNA". The record is from RNAcentral. Lineage: Bacteria; Pseudomonadati; Pseudomonadota; Gammaproteobacteria; Enterobacterales; Enterobacteriaceae.